UACGAAGGGGGCUAGCGUUGCUCGGAAUCACUGGGCGUAAAGCGCACGUAGGCGGCUUUUUAAGUCAGGGGUGAAAUCCUGGAGCUCAACUCCAGAACUGCCUUUGAUACUGGGAAGCUUGAGUCCGGGAGAGGUGAGUGGAACUCCGAGUGUAGAGGUGAAAUGCGCAGAUAUCAGGAAGAACACCAAUGGCGAAGGCAGCUCUCUGGGACGGUACUGACGCUGAGACGCGAAAGCGUGGGGAGCGAACAGG
Molecule: ribosomal RNA, 253 nt
Filed under: uncultured bacterium
Lineage: Bacteria
Description: partial 16S ribosomal RNA
Rfam family: Bacterial small subunit ribosomal RNA
Source: RNAcentral